GGUAAAAAGAGCAUAUGGUGGAUGGCUCGAGAUAGUAUGGGCGAAGAAGGACGUGGCGUGACUGCGUUAACCUUGGGGGAGGUGUCUAGCAACCUUUGAUCCCAAGAUUUCCGAAUGGGGAAACCCCGUCCGCCGAAAGGCGGAUGACCAAGCGUUUUAAACGGCGCUUUGGAGCGAACCCGCUGAAGUAAAACAUUUCAGUAAGCGGAGGAAAAGAGAACAAUAGUUUAUUCCCUUAGUAGCGGCGAGCGAAAAGGGAAGAGCCCAGAUCCCGAUUUCCUAUUUAAUUUAUUAAGUGGGUAAUCGCGGAAGUAGUAAGUUUAGUUCUAAUCUUUAAUGAUCGGAAGAAUGAAAAUAUUAAUAGAACGGUCCUGGAAAGGCCGGCCAAAGAGGGUAAUAGCCCCGUAAAUGAAAAUAAUUUUCUACUUUUCGGACUUUACUUGAGUACCUCGAUAAAUGUAUGCGUCGGGGGAAACUGCCGGCACGAGCCGGUAAGGCUAAAUACCAUCUAUCAUCAAUAGUGAACUAGUACCGUGAGGGAAAGUUGAAAAGCAGCCCGGUGAGGGCGAUGAAAUAGUACCUGAAACCAUAUGCUUACAAAGAAUGGGAGCCCCGUGAGCGCAAGCUUUUACGGGGUGACCGUGUGCCUAUUGAAGAAUGAGCCAACGAGUUAUUGUUUUUUGCUUCUUUAAGGGCGUAAAGCCCGGAAAGACAGGGAAACCGAGUGUUAAUAGCGCGUUUUCCCACUCAAAAUUUUGGAAUAAAAAAAUGGUGGAGGGCUUUUUCGCGCCCCCCGAAACGUCCGGAUUAUCAUUAUUACCAGCUUUACUGGUAAAGCUGAUAUGUGGAACCGGAAGCACACUCUGCGUGCGUUAAUUAUACUCCUAUUACAUUAAUUUGUCAAUAGGGUCCANNNNNNNNNNNNNNNNNNNNNNNNNNNNNNNNNNNNNNNNNNNNNNNNNNNNNNNNNUUAUCCAACACCUUUCGUCUAAGGGCACCUAGCCCGGAGGCACAGGGAAACCAAGUGUUAAAAGCGCGAUUUUCUCCGACGUUACGUCGGAGAAAAAAAGAUGUUGGAUAGACCCGAAGCGAGAUGAGCUUACCAUGACCAGGGUGAACCUCGGAGAAAUCCGGGGGGAGGCCCGAACCGUUUAGCCGUUCAAAACUAUCGGAUGAGUUGUGGUAAGGAGUGAAAAGCUAAUCGAAUCUCGUAAUAGCUGGUUCUCUCCGAAAUAGCUUUUCGGCUAGCGCCCGCCAAAAAUUAGCAGGUAGAGCUACUAGAUGGACUUGACAGGGAGAAAUCUCGCGAGUCCAACUAAACUCCGAAUGGCUAAUCUAUUUAGGCGGGUAGUCAGACCAUGGGGGCUAAGCUCCAUCGGUCAAAAGGGAAACAGCCCAGAUCUCAAUCUAAGGUCCCUAAAUUUCUGCUAAGUGCAAAGAAGGUGGUGAAGUUUCUUAAACAGCGAGGAGGUUGGCUUAGAAGCAGCCAUCCUUUAAAGAGUGCGUAACAGCUCACUCGUCAAGAGACUUCGCGCCGAAAAUUAUCGGGGCUAAGCAGAGUACCGAAGGUGAGAUCGUCAGUGCAUAGCACUGACGCGCGGAAAGCGCGGACUUGACGCAGACAGUCGCAGAAAAUAAUUCUGCAUGUUCUGCGUUUAUUCUGCGUAAAUCGGCGCGCCAAUACUAUGCAUUGGCGAGGUAGGAGAGCGUUCCAAAUGCAGUGAAGCUCACGGCGCGAGCCGGGGUGGAGCGUUUGGAAGUGAGAAUGUUGGCACAAGUAACCGCAAGUUCGGUGAAAUACCGUACCACCGAAAACCCAAGGUUUCCUUGGCAAUGGAAAUCAGCCAAGGGUUAGUCGGGCCUAAGCCAAUGGCGAAAGCCGGAGGCGAUGGACAGCUGGUUAAUAUUCCAGCACUGCGUAUUGUUUUGACGGCAGGACGGAGCCUAGUAUGUCGGGCGCGUUAUUGGAUUCGCGUUCAUUGCGUAAGCGCGGGGCGGAGGAAAAUCCCUGCCCAGCCCCGCCACGGCGGGGGCGCGCGAAUGUUUUGAAAAUUUUUGCAGCAAUGCGAAAAAAUUCGGUAAAGCAGGCUUCCCAGAAAAUUGUCUAAAAUUAUCAAUACGCAACCGUACCGGAAUCCGACACAGGUGGGUGGGAGGAGAACUCCCAGGUGAACGAGUGAAAGAUCCCCAAGGAACUCGGCAAAAAAGCGGACGUAACUUAGGGAUAUGUCCUUCCCGCCAACAUUAGAUAAUAUCAAAAUGAAGGCGGGACGCAGCGAAAGUACCCCUGGCGACUGUUUAACAAAAACACAGCUCCCUGCAAACUCGUAAGAGGAAGUAUAGGGGGUGAUGCCUGACCAAUGCGAGAAGGUUAACGCUGGCGUUCGCGUGGAGCAAUCUGCGCGGGUGACUGGCCGAAGCCCUCGUCAAUGUCGGCCGUAACUAUAACGGUCCUAAGGUUCUGGAAUUAUUUUGAAAUGAUUCCGGAAGGACUAGGACUGUUAUAGCGAUACAUAUGUUAAACAAAAAUAGCUGCCUCAUUGUGUAGCAAUACGCAAUUGGUCCAAAAUUACAUGGCUAUAUGCUGGAAACUCCGCAAGUAUCCUCAAGUACUUUGUGUCCUAAACCAGGUUUGGGUCAUAAAGUGAAAAUCUGUGAGGUGGCGCGGACAAUCAGCAGGAAACUGUAAUAUCUAAAGGAGGAAAAGAACAUGAAAAAUGACUGGGACGUACUUGUCCAAAGACGUUGGUGGAUGUCUCGUGCAGACAUCGACGUUCUUUACUACAAGUGGAAGACGGGACAAAUUCAAGUUGGAGAUGAAGAAAUGCUGAGAGAGUUUCAGGCUGUUCGUUCUGAAGAAAUAAAGAUCGAAGCAGCCGAGAUGCCAGAAUCUCCAGCUGUCUUCAUGUUCGGCGGAAUGUUGGAUGCAAUGUUCGAGAAAACUCCAAAUGGGCAAAAGUAGUUCAAGCCCUUCCUGUAAGGAAGGCGCAAAGAAACUCUUUGCCUCUUCCUUUAGGUAUUACAGGAUCCUCAGAUACCAUACGCCGUGCAUCUCUAAGUAGAUGAAGAUAUGGUACUUCGCCCCAAGGAAGCGAACAGCGAAAUUCCUUGUCUGGUGAGUUCAGACGCGCACGAAAGGUAUAACGACUGGGGGACUGUCUCGGGGAUUUACUCGGUGAAAAUGCGAUACCGGUG
RNAcentral lists this ribosomal RNA (3195 nucleotides) under Candidatus Giovannonibacteria bacterium GWA2_45_15. RNAcentral's name for it is "partial 23S ribosomal RNA". It matches the Rfam family "Bacterial large subunit ribosomal RNA", at positions 1 to 2055 of the family's 2925-position model. Lineage: Bacteria; Candidatus Giovannoniibacteriota. The record is from RNAcentral.